This 253-nucleotide ribosomal RNA is filed under the name uncultured bacterium. RNAcentral describes it as "partial 16S ribosomal RNA". It matches the Rfam family "Bacterial small subunit ribosomal RNA", at positions 524 to 776 of the family's 1533-position model. The record is from RNAcentral.
UACGUACCACACGAACGUUAUUCGGAAUCACUGGGCUUAAAGGGUGCGCAGGCUGUGUAGAAAGUCGGGCGUGAAAUCCCUCGGCUCAACCGAGGAACUGCGCCCGAAACUACUGUGCUCGAGGGAGAUAGAGGUGAGCGGAACUUAGGGUGGAGCGGUGAAAUGCGUUGAUAUCCUAAGGAACACCGGUGGCGAAAGCGGCUCACUGGAUCUCUUCUGACGCUCAUGCACGAAAGCCAGGGGAGCGAACGGG